CGGGUGAGUAACACGUGGGUAACCUGCCCAUAAGACUGGGAUAACUCCGGGAAACCGGGGCUAAUACCGGAUAACAUUUUGAACCGCAUGGUUCGAAAUUGAAAGGCGGCUUCGGCUGUCACUUAUGGAUGGACCCGCGUCGCAUUAGCUAGUUGGUGAGGUAACGGCUCACCAAGGCAACGAUGCGUAGCCGACCUGAGAGGGUGAUCGGCCACACUGGGACUGAGACACGGCCCAGACUCCUACGGGAGGCAGCAGUAGGGAAUCUUCCGCAAUGGACGAAAGUCUGACGGAGCAACGCCGCGUGAGUGAUGAAGGCUUUCGGGUCGUAAAACUCUGUUGUUAGGGAAGAACAAGUGCUAGUUGAAUAAGCUGGCACCUUGACGGUACCUAACCAGAAAGCCACGGCUAACUACGUGCCAGCAGCCGCGGUAAUACGUAGGUGGCAAGCGUUAUCCGGAAUUAUUGGGCGUAAAGCGCGCGCAGGUGGUUUCUUAAGUCUGAUGUGAAAGCCCACGGCUCAACCGUGGAGGGUCAUUGGAAACUGGGAGACUUGAGUGCAGAAGAGGAAAGUGGAAUUCCAUGUGUAGCGGUGAAAUGCGUAGAGAUAUGGAGGAACACCAGUGGCGAA
Molecule: ribosomal RNA, 631 nt
Filed under: Bacillus cereus group sp.
Lineage: Bacteria; Bacillati; Bacillota; Bacilli; Caryophanales; Bacillaceae
Description: bacterial SSU rRNA
Rfam family: Bacterial small subunit ribosomal RNA
Source: RNAcentral